GUGAGGAAUAUUGCACAAUGGAGGAAACUCUGAUGCAGCAACGCCGCGUGGAGGAUGACGCAUUUCGGUGUGUAAACUCCUUUUAAGAGGGAAGAUUAUGACGGUACCUCUUGAAUAAGCACCGGCUAACUCCGUGCCAGCAGCCGCGGUAAUACGGAGGGUGCAAGCGUUACUCGGAAUCACUGGGCGUAAAGGGUGCGUAGGCUGACUUUUAAGUCAGGUGUGAAAUCCAAUGGCUCAACCAUUGAACUGCACUUGAAACUGGGAGUCUAGAGUUCAGAAGGGGCAGAUGGAAUUAGUGGUGUAGGGGUAAAAUCCGUAGAUAUCACUAGGAAUAUCAAAAGCGAAGGCGAUCUGCUGGGAUGAUACUGACGCUGAGGCACGAAAGCGUGGGGAGCAAACAGGAUUAGAUACCCUAGUAGUCC
RNAcentral lists this ribosomal RNA (425 nucleotides) under uncultured bacterium. Its description in RNAcentral is "bacterial SSU rRNA". It matches the Rfam family "Bacterial small subunit ribosomal RNA", at positions 354 to 796 of the family's 1533-position model. The record is from RNAcentral.